RNAcentral lists this ribosomal RNA (460 nucleotides) under uncultured bacterium. RNAcentral's name for it is "partial 16S ribosomal RNA". It matches the Rfam family "Bacterial small subunit ribosomal RNA", at positions 338 to 795 of the family's 1533-position model. The record is from RNAcentral.
CCUACGGGUGGCAGCAGUGAGGAAUAUUGGUCAAUGGACGAGAGUCUGAACCAGCCAAGUAGCGUGAAGGAUGACUGCCCUAUGGGUUGUAAACUUCUUUUAUAAAGGAAUAAAACGAGGCACGUGUGCCUUUUUGCAUGUACUUUAUGAAUAAGGAUCGGCUAACUCCGUGCCAGCAGCCGCGGUAAUACGGAGGAUCCGAGCGUUAUCCGGAUUUAUUGGGUUUAAAGGGAGCGUAGAUGGGUUGUUAAGUCAGUUGUGAAAGUUUGCGGCUCAACCGUAAAAUUGCAAUUGAUACUGGCAGUCGUGAGUACAGUUGAGGUAGGCGGAAUUCGUGGUGUAGCGGUGAAAUGCUUAGAUAUCACGAAGAACCCCGAUUGCGAAGGCAGCUUACUAAACUGUGACUGACAUUGAUGCACGAAAGUGUGGGUAUCAAACAGGAUUAGAUACCCUAGUAGUC